This 505-nucleotide ribosomal RNA is filed under the name uncultured bacterium. RNAcentral describes it as "partial 16S ribosomal RNA". It matches the Rfam family "Bacterial small subunit ribosomal RNA", at positions 28 to 507 of the family's 1533-position model. The record is from RNAcentral.
GACGAACGCUGGCGGCGUGCCUAAUACAUGCAAGUAGAACGCACAGUUUAUACCGUAGCUUGCUACACCAUAGACUGUGAGUUGCGAACGGGUGAGUAACGCGUAGGUAACCUGCCUGGUAGCGGGGGAUAACUAUUGGAAACGAUAGCUAAUACCGCAUAAUAUUAAUUAUUGCAUGAUAAUUAAUUGAAAGGUGCAAUUGCACCACUACCAGAUGGACCUGCGUUGUAUUAGCUAUUAGGUGAGGUAACGGCUCACCUAGGCGACGAUACAUAGCCGACCUGAGAGGGUGAUCGGCCACACUGGGACUGAGACACGGCCCAGACUCCUACGGGAGGCAGCAGUAGGGAAUCUUCGGCAAUGGACGAAAGUCUGACCGAGCAACGCCGCGUGAGUGAAGAAGGUUUUCGGAUCGUAAAGCUCUGUUGUAAGAGAAGAACGGGUGUGAGAGUGGAAAGUUCACACUGUGACGGUAUCUUACCAGAAAGGGACGGCUAACUACGUG